GUGUUAUAUGAAAAGAGAUAAAAUUAGCACUUCUUUGAUAAGGAUGGAAGAGGUCCUAGUGGCCUUAACCACACAUAAUACAGUUAAGGCAUUGCCAUUUACUCUGUGGCAUCUAACUAUGUUUUUGU
This is a small nuclear RNA of Monodelphis domestica (gray short-tailed opossum), 128 nucleotides long. The record is from Ensembl. NCBI's taxonomy places the organism in Eukaryota, Metazoa, Chordata, Mammalia, Didelphimorphia, Didelphidae.